RNAcentral lists this ribosomal RNA (484 nucleotides) under uncultured bacterium. RNAcentral describes it as "partial 16S ribosomal RNA". It matches the Rfam family "Bacterial small subunit ribosomal RNA", at positions 30 to 507 of the family's 1533-position model. The record is from RNAcentral.
AUUGAACGCUGGCGGCAGGCCUAACACAUGCAAGUCGAGCGGAUGAAGGGAGCUUGCUCCUGGAUUCAGCGGCGGACGGGUGAGUAAUGCCUAGGAAUCUGCCUGGUAGUGGGGGAUAACGUCCGGAAACGGGCGCUAAUACCGCAUACGUCCUGAGGGAGAAAGUGGGGGAUCUUCGGACCUCACGCUAUCAGAUGAGCCUAGGUCGGAUUAGCUAGUUGGUGGGGUAAAGGCCUACCAAGGCGACGAUCCGUAACUGGUCUGAGAGGAUGAUCAGUCACACUGGAACUGAGACACGGUCCAGACUCCUAAGGGAGGCAGCAGUGGGGAAUAUUGGACAAAGGGCGAAAGCCUGAUCCAGCCAUGCCGCGUGUGUGAAGAAGGUCUUCGGAUUGUAAAGCACUUUAAGUUGGGAGGAAGGGCAGUAAGUUAAUACCUUGCUGUUUUGACGUUACCAACAGAAUAAGCACCGGCUAACUUCGUG